This 279-nucleotide ribosomal RNA is filed under the name uncultured bacterium. RNAcentral's name for it is "partial 16S ribosomal RNA". It matches the Rfam family "Bacterial small subunit ribosomal RNA", at positions 506 to 784 of the family's 1533-position model. The record is from RNAcentral.
UGCCAGCAGCCGCGGUAACACGGGGGGCGCAAGCGUUAAUCGGAAUUACUGGGCGUAAAGGGUACGUAGGCGGUUUGCUAAGUUGGAUGUGAAAGCCCUGGGCUUAACCUGGGAACUGCAUUCAAAACUGGCAGACUGGAGUUUGGCAGAGGCUAGUGGAAUUCCAGGUGUAGCGGUGAAAUGCGUAGAGAUCUGGAGGAACAUCAGUGGCGAAGGCGACUGGCUGGGCCAAAACUGACGCUGAGGUACGAAAGCGUGGGGAGCAAACAGGAUUAGAUA